CCUACGGGGGGCUGCAGUGAGGAAUAUUGGUCAAUGGACGAGAGUCUGAACCAGCCAAGUAGCGUGAAGGAUGACUGUCCUAUGGGUUGUAAACCUCUUUUAUAUGGAAAUAAAAUGUCCUACGUGUGGGAUUUUGUAUGUACCAUAUGUAUAAGGAUAGGCUAACUCCGUGCCAGCAGCCGCGGUAAUACGGAGGAUCCGAGCGUUAUCUGGAUUUAAUGGGUUUAAAGGGAGCGUAGGUGGAUUGGUAAGUCAGUUGUGAAAGUUUGGGGGUUAAACCCAGGAUUGCAGUUGAAACUGGCAGUCUGGAGUACGGUAGAGGUGAGCGGAAUGCGUGGUGUAGCGGUGAAAUGCGUAGAUAUCACGAAGAACUCCGAUUGCGAAGGCAGCUCACUGGACUGCAACUGACGCUGAGGCACGAAAGUGUGGGUAGCAAACAGGAUUAGAUACCCUUGUAGUC
RNAcentral lists this ribosomal RNA (460 nucleotides) under uncultured bacterium. RNAcentral's name for it is "partial 16S ribosomal RNA". It matches the Rfam family "Bacterial small subunit ribosomal RNA", at positions 338 to 795 of the family's 1533-position model. The record is from RNAcentral.